CCGUCCUGGAACAGCUCGGCCCACCACUUCACCAGGCUGGCUCCGCUCGCCCAAAACUCAGCCCUCACGCGAUGGAGCCAGCCAUCAAUCAUCGCCUCAUCGGCGCCCCAAAUUGCGUUUGUUCCUUGUUGACCAUCAGAAAAUCCCUAAAUCCCCAUCGCCUGCGUCAUUCGCUUCCAGAUGCGCCGCGCCGCCAUCGAGGAUCCCCUUUCGCAGCCGGCUCUAUCGGCGAUGGAUCCACCCUUGAUGCUGCCUGCUCCGAUCAAUCAAGGCUAGUUCAUUCGUCGGGGCGCACGCUGAUGGUAGGAGGCAGGCGGACUCACGAGCAUUAGAAUUCCAGAUCGGUAGGCAUCCGCUUCUUGGAGCUCGUCGUCCUGGUGCGGCUGCUCCAGAUGCAGAUCUUAGCAGUGGGAGUGGCAGUGGUGGAGCCCCCCCAUCGGUGGUAGCUGCGGUGACCCCGCGGGCUGUGAUCGUGGAGGCACGGUGGCGAGCCGGGUGGGCAUGGGUCCCUCCCCGCGGCUGCAUGUCGCCCAGGCACAUUGAGCUGCUAGCUGCCAUGUGUUUGGUCGUCCAUUGCUGGCUUUAGUCUCACAACAUUUCGCAGGUCGCCGAGGUACGAUCAACUAAGGGGUGAUGCUGGUGCACGCUCUGUGUUUGCGUAAAUGCCCCGGCGAAGUUGAAGCUCCGCGCAGGUCGAGCAUCGCUUGUUCAUUUCUCUGUGGUCUGUGCUUCCAUAGUUUUGUUUGAUUCAUUCAAAUAUGUACUGCCGUAGGUUACAUAACUUGGUACAAGCAGGCUGCAUACUUUAGUAUAGUUGAUUUCACCAGAUUCUGCAGUUAUGAUCGAUUUCUUUGGAUCUGGGUUCUUAAUAGCACCAAUCUAAAAUCUUGAAUUAUAUCUGAACCUGGAUGAUAUUUUUCAGUAAAUUCAUGGAUUUACGUUAUCACAUAUCAUGAGUUUGAUUCUUGUAACUCAUAGUCAGAAAAUUAUGUCAAUCAUUUUUUGUUUUACUGUAUUUUUUUGUGCAUUUGUGCCCAUGAGCUUAUUUCUGACUAUUGUACUUCUCAGUUCACGAUUACUGUAGCCUCAGUACUGAAAAACAAUGCUCACCAUUCUGGAAUUGGCUCUGAUUUCCAUGUCGUUUUUUACUGCUUCUGCUUUUCUGAUGGUCAUCGCUUUGUCAACUACAGUGAAGAAGCCCAACUCUAGUGACUAUGCAUACGGCAAAAUGUUCCUCAGCUUAGGUUGUUUGAGCUGCUCAAACAAGCACAUAUGUGAUGUAUGUUUUUUUGUAUGCUGUCAAUUCUACUGAAAGCCAGAUAAGUUUUUUAAGGUGUUGCAAGCACAUGUGUGCUGGUUAUUGUAAUUCUUUAGAGACAUUUUGCUACAAGGUCCCUCGGAACCUAUCGAUGCAAAAUAGUGGUACCUCUCCAUCCUGAUUAUAGUCUUUAGUUAAUCAAAAUAUCGUAACAGUUGGCUUGUGGUAACUGGUUUCUCAGAA
Molecule: long non-coding RNA, 1501 nt
Organism: Panicum hallii
Lineage: Eukaryota; Viridiplantae; Streptophyta; Magnoliopsida; Poales; Poaceae
Exons: 4
Source: RefSeq, a predicted model, not a curated record